Small nucleolar RNA from Elgaria multicarinata webbii, 216 nucleotides. RefSeq annotates it as small nucleolar RNA U3. The transcript has a single exon. The record is from RefSeq and is a predicted model, not a curated record. NCBI's taxonomy places the organism in Eukaryota, Metazoa, Chordata, Lepidosauria, Squamata, Anguidae.
GUUUUAGGACUCCAGGGAUAAUUUCUAUAGUGUCAAGGUAGAGAAGAACGUUCAAAAAUGGUUGGCAGAGCGAACCAUGAGGAGGAAUCCAGUGUCCUCUUCUGAGCACAAAACGAGUGGGCAGUGCUGUAUUUCUGUAGCUCUUGCUUAUUAUUGAUGACCGUUCUGCCUUCCUUUUAUAAGCAGCUUGAAGGGAGAGAACGCAAACUGAUUAGC